Molecule: long non-coding RNA, 413 nt
Organism: Lagopus muta (rock ptarmigan)
Lineage: Eukaryota; Metazoa; Chordata; Aves; Galliformes; Phasianidae
Exons: 4
Source: RefSeq, a predicted model, not a curated record
CGCAUGUUCGGGCCGGGCCGGGCCCCGCCGACGGACCGCCCACACAGGUGAGCGGUUGCGGCGGCGCCGCCCCGGGCGGAGCGAGGACUGGUCGCGAGGCGCCGCGAGCAGAAUGCAACAGAAAGAGACAAGAGAGCCACAUAUUUCUGAAUAUCCGCAUUUUAAGGAAGGUGACACAUUCAAGACAGAUUUGAUGCUUCAAAAAUCCUUGGUCUGUGAAUAAUCUUAAUUCCAUGGUUCAACCACUAGACAAACCAACAUAUUCUGCACACAACAAAAACUAUAUUGUGCUGCUAGUUCAGCAGAACCAGAGAAGAGUGUACUUACUGCCAACAAAAGGGUCGGACUGGAAGAACUCUAAGCUUGUUUCAGAAACUAUAUCAGGCAACGGAUGAGAUUCAGCAUCAAAUGGA